RNAcentral lists this long non-coding RNA (2839 nucleotides) under Homo sapiens (human). Its description in RNAcentral is "HSALNT0393772". The record is from RNAcentral. Lineage: Eukaryota; Metazoa; Chordata; Mammalia; Primates; Hominidae.
CCUAGGAAGGGGCAAGGGUCACUACAAUGUUAAUUGGUGUCUGCAGAUCAGACCCAUUUUUCUAUAGUGAAUAAUUUAAAAACAAUGUCAUUCAUUAAAUGAACCAAUGCCCUUGACUUCUUAAAAGAGGUGAAGGGAAUUAAUCACAGUAAGUUCUCUGAACAUAAAAAUUAACUAAGUUUAUAGUGCUGGAACUGAUGUGUGUGCGAUAACAGUACAUUAUAUUUGAAAGGAUGACCAGAAGACAGCAGCAGGAAUUAAACUAAAGCCAAGAAACUGAGCACAGCUCCUUGGACAAAUCUUAAUCUUGGCUGAUGCCAUAUCUGGUGGGGGUGAGCUGAAGUGUACUUCACUGUGCAUAGAGAGAGAAACCUGCUUUUGAAACUCCUUCCAGAAGCAUACUAUCUUUUCAUUUUUCCACCACAAAGAGAGCUCCCAGAUGAUUAUGCACUCUUCUGCCCAGUGAACAAAAGGAAGCAUAAUCUGGACUAACUACAGGUUGAAUAUCCCAGGUUCUUCUCAGGUUAUGGUUGGCUGAGCUAUACUUAUUGAACACCUGCUGUAAAUAACCAUCAUGAAGAUGAAGCCUUGUAGGUUCCAAUUGUGGUUUACCCACAGAGUGUUCUGGGCAAAUCACUCUGUGAUUCUGUUUUCCGUGUCAUUAAAAGAGGAGAGUAUUACCACCCUCCUAAAAUGGGUAUUGUGAGGAUUAAAUGGAAACAAAAUAGGUUUUGUGGAAAUUGUAAAUGUUACCUUAACACUACACCAAUGUUAGUUAUUUUUUCCCAGUAUCUGAAAUUUGGGAGGAAAGAAUAAAAGACAGAAAAAUGAAAAAGAAGAGGAAGAGAAGGAAGAAGAGAGGAAGGACAUGUUUGCUUCUCCUGCCAUGGCUGGAAGUUUCCUGAGGCCUCCCCAGCCAUCCUGAACUAGGUACCUGGUGCCAGUUCCUGAGACUUGAGGAUUCUGGUUGGUUCUCAGCACAGGAGUCAGCCUGCUCUGAUUUGCUAGUGAUGUCCUAACCAAUCUCCCUGAAAAAUUAUCUGUGAAAUUUAUUUCUAUACAUCCAACAAGCACAAUGAACUCUAGGUAGAAUAAAUUCAGUGAGGUCCACAUCAAGAACAUUGUAAUCAAACUGUUGAAUGUCAAAGACAGAGAAUCUUGAAAGCAACAAGAAAGAAUCAACUAUCAUGUACAAGGGAACCUUAGUAAGAUGAACAGUUGGCUAUUUAUCAGGAACUAUGGAAGCCAGAAAACAGUGGGCAUAUUUAAAGUGCUGAAAGAAAAGAACCUAUCAACCAAGAAUUCUGUAUCUGGCAAAAUUGCCCUUCAAAAGUGAGGAAGAAAUUGAGAUAUUCCCAAUAAACAAAAGCUGAGGGGUUCACUACAAGUAGACCUGCCCUGCAAGAAAUGCUACAAGAUGUCCUCAAGUUGAAAUGAAAGGACACUAAAUGGUAACUUGAAGCUGUAUGAAGAAAUAAAGGUCUACAGUAAAGUGCGUCUAGAGUGUUGACAGUUGUUUCCAUGGACUUCAAAUCAACCCAACCCUGUGAGCACAGACUUUCAGCACCAGAGUCAGAUUUCCCAAAAAUGCUAUUCUUGAAGCGUAGAGCCAGACUCACAGAUCCUGUAAAGAAAACAGAUCUUUCAGCAAGUGAAACACCCAAUCUUCCAUUGCAUGGGACUCACAGAGGUUCUGAGGGAGAGAUGUGAAUAGAAGGAGUGAUCAUCACUGUGGACUCUAUUUCUUCCAUCUGUGCGUGCAAGAUUUAUAUCUGUAUGUGUUUGUUUUAAAGUUUUAUUGAGGUAUAAUUGAUACACAAUAAUCUGUACCUAUUUAAUGUAUACAAUUUGAUGAGUUUGGACAUACUUAAAUACCUGUGAAACCAUCACCACAAUCAAGGUAAUAGACAUAGCCAUCACCUCCAAAAGUUUCUUUGUGUCCCUUUGUGGUUUGUUUCUGAGAUAAGAACACUUAACAUGUGGACUCUUGACACUCUCCUUGGAUCUCUUAAUUUGAUUGCUGUUGCUGUCACCACAUUGACUUCCUAGCCCUGCUGAUCCUCCUUUAUCACUAGCUCUAGAAAAAAAAACAAACCAAACACCACUAAUUCAUUUAUUCAGUAAUUCAACAAAAAAACCAUUGAGCACUUAAUAUUUGCAGAAUACAUGGCUAGAUGCAGAGGAUUCAAAGAAUUGAGUGAAGUCACAUAAAGUGUUAAGAACAGUGUGUGAUACAAACAUGAAAUAUGUUAGCUGUUAGAAUUUCAAACUCACUUCCAUAUCAAUUAUAAUAAGGAUUUCCAUAAAUAGCAGAAUAGUAUUUCUAUUAGAUGCUCACAGAUGCUAAUAAAACAGUAGAAUGGUAAAAACCAUGCAUCCCCCAAGGCAAGAGAAGGUGAGCUAUUUUGCCUCGGUGGCUCAAUAUUCCAUCAAUGGGUCCUGCUUUAAACUGCAAGUACCUGCCUUCCUUCUUUCAACAGACUGACUCCACGUUGCUUUAGGAAAGAUUCACUGAAACAAAGGAAUAAACCACCCAAGAUAUAGUGUUUUUAAAAACAUUUUUUAAUGAAGAAAUUAUUCCACUCCAAAAUAUAGACACACAAUUAAAUAGUUUAAUCACUUCAAAAUAUAACAUGUCCCCAGGAGGUUCCAACACACACACACACACACACACACAAAACAAUACUUAACAGCAAUACAAAAAUCCAUACAAUAGUAUUUUUUUUUUACAAUACCAAUGAAUAUUGUGAAAUCUUUAGUGUCUCUGAAUUGAUUAUUUCAAAUGGUGUCAAAUUGCAGUAGUCAUAAUUAAAAAUGUCUUACAGUUAAUUCGCCUCAA